Molecule: ribosomal RNA, 422 nt
Filed under: uncultured archaeon
Lineage: Archaea
Description: partial 16S ribosomal RNA
Rfam family: Archaeal small subunit ribosomal RNA
Source: RNAcentral
CUACGGGACGCACCAGGCGCGAAACCUUUACAAUGCACGCAAGUGUGAUAAGGGAAUCCUGAGUGCUCAUGCAAUGCAUGGGCUUUUGCCAAGAGUAAAUAUCUUGGCGAAUAAGUGGUGGGCAAUACCUGUGCCAGCCGCCGCGGUAAUCCAGGAGCCACAAGUGGCAACCACUUUUAUUGGGUCUAAAGCGUCCGUAGCCGGUUAUGUAAAUCUCCUGUGAAAUUGUCGGGCUCAACCCUACAGCGCGCAGGAGAGACUGCAUAACUAGGGACCGGGAGGCGUCAGAGGUAUUUUGGGGGGAGCGGUAAAAUGCUAUAAUCCCCAAAGGACCGCCUGUGGCGAAGGCGUCUGACGAGAACGGAUCCGACGGUGAGGGACGAAAGCUAGGGGAGCAAUCCGGAUUAGAUACCCCCGUAGUC